RNAcentral lists this ribosomal RNA (439 nucleotides) under uncultured bacterium. Its description in RNAcentral is "bacterial SSU rRNA". It matches the Rfam family "Bacterial small subunit ribosomal RNA", at positions 954 to 1392 of the family's 1533-position model. The record is from RNAcentral.
GCAUAACGCGAAGAACCUUACCCACCUUUGACAUGUACGGAAUCCUUUAGAGAUAGAGGAGUGCUCGAAAGAGAGCCGUAACACAGGUGCUGCAUGGCUGUCGUCAGCUCGUGUCGUGAGAUGUUGGGUUAAGUCCCGCAACGAGCGCAACCCUUGCCAUUAGUUGCUACAUUUAGUUGAGCACUCUAAUGGGACUGGCCGGUGACAAACCGGAGGAAGGUGGGGAUGACGUCAAGUCCUCAUGGCCCUUAUAGGUGGGGCUACACACGUCAUACAAUGGCUGGUACAAAGGGUUGCCAACCCGCGAGGGGGAGCUAAUCCCAUAAAGCCAGUCGUAGUCCGGAUCGCAGUCUGCAACUCGACUGCGUGAAGUCGGAAUCGCUAGUAAUCGUGGAUCAGAAUGUCACGGUGAAUACGUUCCCGGGUCUUGUACACACCG